ACCCGCUGAACUUAAGCAUAUCAAUAAGCGGAGGAAAAGAAACCAACAGGGAUUGCCUCAGUAACGGCGAGUGAAGCGGCAACAGCUCAAAUUUGAAAUCUGGUCCUCGGGCCCGAGUUGUAAUUUGCAGAGGAUGCUUUUGGCGACGUGCCUACCGAGUUCCCUGGAACGGGACGCCACAGAGGGUGAGAGCCCCGUACGGUAGUGUCACCGAGCCUCUGUAAAGCUCCUUCGACGAGUCGAGUAGUUUGGGAAUGCUGCUCUAAAUGGGAGGUGUAUGUCUUCUAAAGCUAAAUACCGGCCAGAGACCGAUAGCGCACAAGUAGAGUGAUCGAAAGAUGAAAAGUACUCUGAAGAGAGAGUUAAACAGCACGUGAAAUUGUUGAAAGGGAAGCGCUUGCAGCCAGACUUGCCUGUAGUUGCUCAUCCGGGUUUUUACCCGGUGCACUCUUCUAUAGGCAGGCCAGCAUCAGUUUGGGCGGUUGGAUAAAGGUCUCUGUCAUGUACCUCUCUUCGGGGAGAACUUAUAGGGGAGACGACAUGCAACCAGCCCGGACUGAGGUCCGCGCAUCUGCUAGGAUGCUGGCGUAAUGGCUGU
Molecule: ribosomal RNA, 598 nt
Filed under: uncultured fungus
Lineage: Eukaryota; Fungi
Description: eukaryotic LSU rRNA
Rfam family: Eukaryotic large subunit ribosomal RNA
Source: RNAcentral